This 153-nucleotide small nuclear RNA is filed under the name Nelumbo nucifera (sacred lotus). RNAcentral's name for it is "U4 spliceosomal RNA". It matches the Rfam family "U4 spliceosomal RNA". Rfam says of the family: U4 small nuclear RNA (U4 snRNA) is a component of the major U2-dependent spliceosome. The structure of U4 snRNA from yeast and human has been reported. U4 snRNA presents a k-turn RNA motif in the 5p-SL related to recognition of Snu13 protein. The record is from Rfam by way of RNAcentral. Lineage: Eukaryota; Viridiplantae; Streptophyta; Magnoliopsida; Proteales; Nelumbonaceae.
ACCCUAACCCAAUUACGGCAAUGAUGUAGUCAAUGAGGUAUUAAUUGAGACGUAUCAAUUGCUAGUUGAAAACUAUUUCCAAACCCCCUCAGGGCCUGGCCUACCUCUGGCCUUUGAGAAUUGCUAGAAGGGUCCCCUCAAAAGGGUAAGACC